Pseudophryne corroboree (corroboree frog) is the source of this 1988-nucleotide long non-coding RNA. RefSeq lists it as uncharacterized. The record is from RefSeq and is a predicted model, not a curated record. Lineage: Eukaryota; Metazoa; Chordata; Amphibia; Anura; Myobatrachidae. The transcript has 7 exons.
GGACUAGCCACGCGAUUAAGGGUAAUGUGAGGUGCAGUAAGUAGUAGGUGAUACAUAAUAGAUGGGGUUAACAUAUUGACUGGUAAUAAACGAGUGCGGCUUUGUGGCUCCGCCCAUAUAGUGAUGUCAUUAUGACGCCUUUUGGCGCGUUUUUUGAAGUUUAGGGUAUUUAAGGAGCCGGUGAGGCAUGGCCAAAUAUGCAGCUGAUGACUUGGGGUGUGGAUAAGACAGCUUUUUCUGACAACGGUUGAUAUUCUCCUGAUGAUGGUCUGUGUGGGACCGAAAACGUUCGAGAUACCCUAUAUGCUGUAAGGUACAGCUGAAUUAUGCUGUCAAUAAAUCUGGUGCAUGUUUAAGGACUAAGACUGAACGGAUCUCCUCGUCAAAAACGUGGGGACAGGCUGGGACGGCGCAGUUGCAUGAAAUCUGACCAUGCCAGUUAAGUGAGCCAAGACACCGCAACCCCAACCUCUGGCUAAUUUUAUUGCCUGGGAGUUAUUUAUUUUCUUGGAUGCCCUUUGAACACCGAUCUCACAUAAAGACUAACCAGAUUUCCACCCAAUCAUUUUCCGCCAAUGCUCUCUUUGCUUUGAGGCGUCCUUUCCAUGAAGGUAGAGUUUGGUUGACGGGAGUAUUUCCGGACGGUGGCAGACAUCGAGCAUCCUGGCAUUUAAGGAGGAAUAACAGAUACCAGAUAAAUGCUCCAUUCAUCUUGGGUGCUUCCAGGUCUCUCGCAGUGCACCCACGCUUUCAGGCGUACUCCAGACGCUAAUGACAAAGAAAAUAAAGUGUGAAAAGCAUCACAACCAUUGCUUGAUCCAACGUGGUGGUUUUGUAAAUAUGAAACACAUGGAACCGUGGACGUCAUCAGGGCAGAUGGUCAUAAAACUUUUGGAUUUCAUCAUUCCCUUUAUCAAAUGAUCAUUGACGAAACUGUGGUCUGGCUAUGCAUGGAACACUUAUACCAGUUAUUAGGAAGAGGAGUGAAAUUACAUUGCGGAUGUUACUCUCCAUGUUGAGCAGGCCGGGCUGUCACUAUGGGGAGACAAUUACAUUUUUGUCAAUGUGCCACGAGCAUCACCAAUGCUCAACUGUGAACAUAUCGCUCACAUAUCGGUUAUGGUAUCGGUUAUGGUAUUAAAUCGGUCUCACAUGUCACACAUGUCUAGCCGUAGCAGCUCAUUUCAUCAGCCAGUGCGAUCAGGCAGGACUUGGAAGACGUGACAGAGGCUCCACACACUCCUAGUACCUGUCGGGGGAGAAGAUUGAACAGGAGAAUGGGCUACAGGAGAGCCGUGCACCAACACACCAGGCCAUCGCUGUCUGCUUGGGGCUUUCCGCACUCUGCAGCCCUAAGGGAGAAAUCACAGAGACCACACCAUUCGGAUCCUGGCACUGCUAAUAGAUCUCCAGUCUUCAGCCGACUUUGAUGCAUAAACGAUCCUCAAAAUCAGAUUAUAUGAUUACAUCCAGACCCUUGGAUAAAAUGGAAUUCAAGGUUAUGAUGGCUGUCAAAGUAGAAGCAUAGGUUUUUUUUCAAAUAUAUGUUAGGCUUGAAUGUAUUUUCCCUGAUGUGCUGUUUCACUGGCGUAUGUAGUUGCAUGUGUUAUUGGGUAUAAGGCCUUAAACUGCACCUGUGUUACUGUUUAUAUGGCUUGUAAAUAAAUACAUAAUUGUCCACAUACACAUACUGUAUAUAUAGAUAUAUAGAUAGAUAGAUAGAUAUACCAUAUGUAGAUAAAUAUACAGUUGUGAAUACUAACAUUAUGUCACAGUGGCGCAUCUCUCCGCAACUCCACUGUUUGGAAAUCAGUUAUCACAUACAAAUUUGUCUCCAGUACAGAAGUCUUUAAGUUGGUCUUCAGAAAAAUGGCUGCCACUUGCCUAACUCAGUACUAGUGACAACACAUUAUGAUAAGGGUUAAUAUACUUGAAAAAUAUUUUCUAAAACUUUAAUUGCCAACUUUCCCUAACAGAAUAAAAAAACC